This 24-nucleotide non-coding RNA is filed under the name Arabidopsis thaliana (thale cress). Lineage: Eukaryota; Viridiplantae; Streptophyta; Magnoliopsida; Brassicales; Brassicaceae. The record is from RNAcentral.
GGUUGGUGUAUCAUCCCCGAUGAU